GCGGAGUAAUACAUAAGACGUGCCCUAAAGACUGGGAUAGUCAUUGGAAACGAUGGGUAAUACCAGAUGAGGCCUUCUUGGCAUCUUGAGAAGAUCAAACGGUUUUUCGCUUUAGGAGCGGCUUAUGGCCUAUGGUAGUUGGUGGGGUAAUGGCCUACCAAGCCGACGACGGGUAGCGGGUCUGAGAGGAUUCCGCUCGAGUGGGACUGAGACACGGCCCACACACCUACGGGUGGCAGCAGUUGGGAAUUGCACAAUGGGGGAAACCCUGAUGCAGCGACGCCGCGUGGAGGAUGACGGGUCUAGGUGUAAACUCCUUUUGAUGGGAAAGACUUAGGACGGUACCCAUUGAAUAAGGACCGGCUCUACGUGCCAGCAGCCGCGGUAAGACGUAGGGUCCAAGCGUUGUCCGGAUUUACUGGGUAAAGAGCGCGUAGGCGGUCUGUUAAGUGUGAAGUGAAAUCUCCAGGGCUCAACCCGGACUGCUUCGCAUACUGGCAGACUUGAGGGAUGCAGAGGUUUGUGGAAUUCCUGGUGUAGGUGAUAUGCGUAGAUAUCAGGAGGAACACCCAUGGCGAAGGCAGCAAACUGGGCAUCCUGACGCUGAGGCGCGAAAGCGUGGGUAGCAAACAGGAUUAGAUACCCUGGUAGUCCGCCCUAAACGAUGGAUACUAGACGUAAGAGGUAUCGACCCCUCUUGUGUCGCAGCUAAC
Molecule: ribosomal RNA, 713 nt
Filed under: uncultured bacterium
Lineage: Bacteria
Description: bacterial SSU rRNA
Rfam family: Bacterial small subunit ribosomal RNA
Source: RNAcentral